AACAGGUGCUAAUACCGCAUAACCAUAGUUACCGCAUGGUAACUAUGUAAAAGGUGGCUAUGCUACCGCUUUUGGAUGGGCCCGCGACGCAUUAGCUAGUUGGUGGGGUAAAGGCUUACCAAGGCAAUGAUGCGUAGCCGAACUGAGAGGUUGAUCGGCCACAUUGGGACUGAGACACGGCCCAAACUCCUACGGGAGGCAGCAGUAGGGAAUCUUCCACAAUGGGCGAAAGCCUGAUGGAGCAACGCCGCGUGGGUGAAGAAGGUCUUCGGAUCGUAAAACCCUGUUGUUAGAGAAGAAAGUGCGUGUGAGUAACUGUUCACGUUUCGACGGUAUCUAACCAGAAAGCCACGGCUAACUACGUGCCAGCAGCCGCGGUAAUACGUAGGUGGCAAGCGUUAUCCGGAUUUAUUGGGCGUAAAGAGAACGCAGGCGGUCUUUUAAGUCUGAUGUGAAAGCC
Molecule: ribosomal RNA, 460 nt
Filed under: uncultured bacterium
Lineage: Bacteria
Description: bacterial SSU rRNA
Rfam family: Bacterial small subunit ribosomal RNA
Source: RNAcentral